UGCCUAGUGACAUUCAGCUCUAUCAUCAUAUCCUUGUUCAGCCCCAGAAGUUAUUAGGGAACUGUACUUGUUUUUGAUAAAGGUGAAACUCUUGUUAAAGAAUCCUCAUAUAAGCUAGGGCGUCCAUUAGGAUGGCUCGUGGAUUAAUGAGCAAACACCAUGAGGCUUGGAUACAACCGAUUUUUUUUCUUAUAUGCUGCCAUUGAUUCACCAAGCACAUUGAUGCAGCUUAAACUCUUUUAACUGCCAAUGAGAUUGCUGUCCUGCUGCAUUUCCUGGUCUCUUAUUUUUGGUGCCACGACCUAUAUUGGUUACUGGAUGGAGUAAAUUGAAUUGCUGAAGCACCAUCAAGAAUGAUACUCCGUUAGUGUGAAGAACUACAUGCGUACUGCCUUUGGCUUGGUCUUCGGUGACACAACAUAAUGCUAAACUAUGCUGAUCCUCAUAUCUUGAAAGCCAUAUUUGGAUCAGAACAUUAUGUCCCUGAAAAGGCAUUUGAUGCCUUACGUAGAAACCAAG
RNAcentral lists this unclassified non-coding RNA (519 nucleotides) under Hevea brasiliensis (rubber tree). The record is from RNAcentral. Lineage: Eukaryota; Viridiplantae; Streptophyta; Magnoliopsida; Malpighiales; Euphorbiaceae.